This 1577-nucleotide long non-coding RNA is filed under the name Homo sapiens (human). RNAcentral's name for it is "HSALNT0232066". Lineage: Eukaryota; Metazoa; Chordata; Mammalia; Primates; Hominidae. The record is from RNAcentral.
CCCGGACUCAGCCUCACAGAUGACUACCCGCUUUCGGACUCCCUCUCAGAGGGCUACCCACUUUGGGCCCCCUCUCAUUGUUGAGAGCUUUUCUGUGGCUCAAUAAAAUUCUUCUCUGCCUUGCUCACUCUCCUGAUUUCUCUUGAUCGUGGGACGAGAACCCAGAGCCUGCCAAACAGUGGCUGCUGCGAAAAGAGCUGUAACGUGUGCUCCUGCUUCCUGAGCUACAGGAGUGAAAAAAACUGCUGGACGCCACACACCCCGAUUUGCUGAGCUGCCAGCGCGGGACCAAACGAGUUGCGACACACCCCCAUUUGCCGAAGCUGCAGGUGGCAGGAACAAACGACAGCUGUUAACACUUCCUGGGGGGCUCAGACCUUGGGACUCCCCAGGCAAAAGCUAGAACACCCCUUGGGGCUCCACAGUUGUUGGCAUCUCCAAGUUUUCAGGGUAUGCAGAUGUUGAUUCCAGAAAGUAUCAUAUGUGGUCAGGAACAUGAGACAGAGAAAGAACGAAAACCCAAAUAAGAUUGCACAGAAGCUUAGGAAUAUGUGCAAGCCUAGAUGUGAUCCCAGUCCAACAGAUUUCACAGCCUUCUCUCUACCUGAGUUUUACUUCGGCUCCCUGACAACAAUGCAAAUUUGUCAAGCAGCUUGAUUGUCUGAAUCAAUCCUCACAGAAACCUAUUUUAUGGAUGAAGAAACAGAGGCUCAAAGAUGUUAAGCCAUUUCACUAAAGUCAUGCAAUCGGUAAGCUAUGGGGGCAAAGUCAAGCUAGCUAAAAAAUUGUGUUCACUCGGUGAAUGUCCUGUGAAUGACCUGUCUCCCUGUUUUACUUUUCUAACGCAAGAAUCUGGACCAAGGACUCACAGAGGAUAAUAGAAUAAGCAUUGAAUAAACUAGUUUGGUUGCUUACUGUUUAAAACCCAUUUUAGAAGGAAAUGAAAUAUAUUUUCUCAGAAAAUUAACAUUUUAAUAUCUUAUGAUUUUCAUCUACUUGCUUCUGUGUGUGUGUGGAUAUGUACAUUAUAAGUCCUAAGCCUAUCAGAAAAUUUCAUUUUCCUAGAUAAAAUCAUUGUACAGGGACUGACAAGUGAUCAAUAAAUUGAAUUUUGGUGAACUAUUGCUUGAAAGGCUGGGAGAAGCAUGUUCUCUCCUUUGCAUAUUGUCACAUCCAGAUGAAGCCUUGAAAUUCUUGAGUACACAACUUUCUGAUGGAACAUGAUGCUGAUACCAAAAAGACAGGCAAGAUGGGAAAUGUGUAGAUAAAUGGAUAAAUGAAUAAAUGGAGUCACAACACCUAGCUUAGGUGAAAAGCAGAAACUGGCCUACCUCCAGAAUUCCAGUGAUGUGUACUGCUGAUACAUUUCCUGAUGGUUUAAGCCCAUUGAUUUGGAUUUUUAUUAUUUGAUACAAAAUGUAUACUAAUUGAUAUGUUUGCAGAAUUGAAAUUCAUACACCCGCUCUGGCAGACACUAGCCAUGGGAUUUGGGGUUAACCUAAAUGGAUCCUCAACUUCUAACCAAAUAGAACUACAUUUCUACCCAAAUUGGUUGCUAUGAGUAUGAGACAGGACAA